GGGAGGAUGGCCGAGCGGUUUAAGGCGCUGUGUUUAGGUCCUCCUAUCACUUCGGUGAUAGACAUAUCUGAUCCGCAGUGGGAAACCUCGUGGGUUCGAAUCCCACUCCUCUCA
This 114-nucleotide transfer RNA is filed under the name Exophiala dermatitidis. RNAcentral's name for it is "tRNA-Leu". It matches the Rfam family "tRNA". From Rfam's summary of the family: Transfer RNA (tRNA) molecules are approximately 80 nucleotides in length. Their secondary structure includes four short double-helical elements and three loops (D, anti-codon, and T loops). RNAcentral also lists the same sequence under 1 other name. The record is from RNAcentral. Lineage: Eukaryota; Fungi; Ascomycota; Eurotiomycetes; Chaetothyriales; Herpotrichiellaceae.